This 402-nucleotide ribosomal RNA is filed under the name Verrucomicrobiota bacterium. Its description in RNAcentral is "Verrucomicrobia bacterium partial 16S ribosomal RNA". It matches the Rfam family "Bacterial small subunit ribosomal RNA", at positions 355 to 776 of the family's 1533-position model. Lineage: Bacteria; Pseudomonadati; Verrucomicrobiota. The record is from RNAcentral.
UGGGGAAUUUUCCACAAUGGGGGAAACCCUGAUGCAGCGACGCCGCGUGAUUUAGAAGGCCUUCGGGUUGUAAAAAUCUUUUGUAUGGGAAGAAAAUGACAGUACCAUACGAAUAAGGACCGGCUAAUUACGUGCCAGCAGCCGCGGUAAUACGUAAGGUCCGAGCGUUGUCCGGAAUCAUUGGGCGUAAAAGGUACGUAGGCGGAUAAGCAAGUUAGAAGUGAAAUCCUAUAGCUCAACUAUAGUAAGCUUUUAAAACUGCUCAUCUUGAGGUAUGGAAAGGAAAGUGGAAUUCCUAGUGUAGCGGUGAAAUGCGCAGAUAUUAGGAGGAAGACCGGUGGCGAAGGCGACUUUCUGGCCAUAUACUGACGCUGAGGUACGAAAGCGUGGGUAGCAAACAGG